AACUUUUAGCAACGGAUCUCUUGGCUCUCGCAUCGAUGAAGAACGCAGCGAAAUGCGAUAAGUAAUGUGAAUUGCAGAAUUCAGUGAAUCAUCGAAUCUUUGAACGCACCUUGCGCUCCUUGGUAUUCCGAGGAGCAUGCCUGUUUGAGUGUCAUUA
This 157-nucleotide ribosomal RNA is filed under the name Psathyrella aquatica. RNAcentral describes it as "5.8S ribosomal RNA". It matches the Rfam family "5.8S ribosomal RNA". From Rfam's summary of the family: 5.8S ribosomal RNA (5.8S rRNA) is a component of the large subunit of the eukaryotic ribosome. It is transcribed by RNA polymerase I as part of the 45S precursor that also contains 18S and 28S rRNA. Functionally, it is thought that 5.8S rRNA may be involved in ribosome translocation. Lineage: Eukaryota; Fungi; Basidiomycota; Agaricomycetes; Agaricales; Psathyrellaceae. The record is from RNAcentral. RNAcentral also lists the same sequence under 2 other names.